AUGUAUAUCGACUCUGUCGAAUAAAGUUCUAGUUAAGUUAUGAUAAUGACAUUUCUUAACUAUGUGUCUUGACCAAAUCACGUGCCAGCAGUCGCGGUAAUACGUGGAAGACUAGUGUUAUUCAUCUUUAACAGGUUUAAAGGGUACCUAGACGGUAAAUCAAGCCCCAAAAGGGUACUAUUUUACUAGAGUUUAAUAAGAGAGGGGGAGUACUGAUGAGUGGAGAGAUGAAAUUUUAUGAUACCAUUAGGAACAGACAAAGGCGAAAGCGACCUUUUACAUAAAACUGACGUUGAGGGACGAAGGCUUUAGUCGUGAACAGGAUUAGAUACCCAAGUAAUUAAAGCAGACAAUGAUGAAUGUCAUAGAUUAGUAACUUUUUAGAUUAGUAAUUAUUUAUUAAUCUAGGCAUAAGUGUACUAUUAAUCUAUAAAUGAAAGUGUAAGCAUUCCACCUCAAGAGUAAUGUGGCAACGCAGAAACUGAAAUCAUUAGACCGUUUCUGAAACCAGUAGUGAAGUAUGUUGUUUAAUUAGAUAGUCCGCAAAAGACCUCACCACAAUUUGUAUAUUAUUCUUUUAUAAGAAUAAUACAAGCGUUGCACGGCUGUCUUCAGUUAAUGUCGUGAGAUUAGGUUAGUUCCAUUAAAUUAACGUAAACCCUUGCUUUAUUUAUUUUAUAAAGUAGAUCACCGCUAUAUUGGAUGUGAUAAUAGGGACUAAGACAAGUCAUCAUGGCCUGAAUAUUGUGGGCGAUAGACGUGCCACAUAAUCGGAGAC
RNAcentral lists this ribosomal RNA (778 nucleotides) under Pertusaria pentelici. RNAcentral's name for it is "SSU rRNA". It matches the Rfam family "Bacterial small subunit ribosomal RNA", at positions 408 to 1240 of the family's 1533-position model. Lineage: Eukaryota; Fungi; Ascomycota; Lecanoromycetes; Pertusariales; Pertusariaceae. The record is from RNAcentral.